AAACUGAAGAGUUUGAUCAUGGCUCAGAUUGAACGCUGGCGGCAGGCUUAACACAUGCAAGUCGAGCGGGGAAGUGUAGCUUGCUACCUAACCUAGCGGCGGACGGGUGAGUAAUGCUUAGGAAUCUGCCUAUUAGUGGGGGACAACAUUCCGAAAGGAAUGCUAAUACCGCAUACGUCCUACGGGAGAAAGCAGGGGAUCUUCGGACCUUGCGCUAAUAGAUGAGCCUAAGUCGGAUUAGCUAGUUGGUGGGGUAAAGGCCU
This 263-nucleotide ribosomal RNA is filed under the name Acinetobacter haemolyticus. RNAcentral describes it as "partial 16S ribosomal RNA". It matches the Rfam family "Bacterial small subunit ribosomal RNA", at positions 1 to 266 of the family's 1533-position model. The record is from RNAcentral. Lineage: Bacteria; Pseudomonadati; Pseudomonadota; Gammaproteobacteria; Moraxellales; Moraxellaceae.